GCUUAAUGCAGCUAUUUCAGCACUGACGAGAUGGUUUUGAGGAAUAUUUGUCAGCAGCUUCCAAGGACCACAUACUUCCAGAGAAAGUGAGAUUUCUAUAGCUCACCCCAGGUGGACAGGAGAUAGAACACACCCACCCCAUCUAGGAAGAUGUUGACUGAAAAAGAAGAUCAGAGCCAUCUUGAAAACAUCUUUGAAGAGUAUAUUUGCCACACCUAAACUGAUUUACAUUAAUCAGACGAGAAAAAUGAUACUCAGAGGAGUUAAGCAGUUUGCCCAAGAAGGAGCCAAGUUAGGAUUUGAACCCAGGACUGUCUGAUAGCAACCUUCAUGCUCUUAGCCACACGGCCAUCAUCUCAUAAUAAACAGGUGGCAGAACCAAGAACCAAGAGAAGGUCGCCCUCCUCUUCUGGAUUCUCUGGAGCUCACUAUAAGGUGCUCCAUGGCGUGGGCCGGACAUCACCCCUGUGGCUGCUGGGGGAGUCGGGACAGUUAAGACCUGUAGUAGCCGCCCGUAAAGAAGGCUUGGAACUCACCAGUGAGUCUCAUGAAAAUGGCUGUGAUAACAAACCUGAGGCAAAAUCAUAA
This 588-nucleotide long non-coding RNA is filed under the name Equus asinus (donkey). RNAcentral describes it as "lncRNA (ENSEASG00005036925.1)". The record is from RNAcentral. Lineage: Eukaryota; Metazoa; Chordata; Mammalia; Perissodactyla; Equidae.